Non-coding RNA from Gossypium raimondii (Peruvian cotton), 144 nucleotides. The record is from Rfam. NCBI's taxonomy places the organism in Eukaryota, Viridiplantae, Streptophyta, Magnoliopsida, Malvales, Malvaceae.
UGUUAAAAAUUUCAUCUAUUUCUACUGUUAAAAAUGAUGCAGUUGAUAGAAUAAUUAGACAGUUACACAUGAUGUGUCACGUGUACCUUAUAUUAACAUAUAAAGACUAAUUUUUUAACAGUAAAAAUAGAUGAAUUUUUAACA